RNAcentral lists this ribosomal RNA (377 nucleotides) under uncultured Glomeromycotina. Its description in RNAcentral is "LSU rRNA". The record is from RNAcentral. Lineage: Eukaryota; Fungi; Glomeromycota.
UUGAAAGGGAAACGAUUGAAGUCAGUCGUACCAGCGGGAAAUCAACCUUUCGAGUGGGGGUUUUGGAGUUUUUUGAAGAGUGUCAAAACCUUUGAGAUUUCAAAAUAUUCGCUCUUUUGGUGUACUUUCUCGUGGGUAGGUUAACAUCGAUUUUGAUCAUCAUAAAAAGAUUGGAGGAAUGUAGCUUCGAUCUUGUAUUGAAGUGUUAUAGCCUUUGGUAAAUGUGAUGAUUAGGAUCGAGGAUUGCAACGAAUACCCUUUUGGGCUAUCCGCCUGAUCUCUGAUACGUGGCCUUGGUAUCGAAAGCGUGCUUAUGGUAUUGAGGUAUUACGGUCAAAAGGUUAGAACGGAUUACAUUCGUUAAGGAUGUUGACGUA